Molecule: ribosomal RNA, 427 nt
Filed under: uncultured bacterium
Lineage: Bacteria
Description: bacterial SSU rRNA
Rfam family: Bacterial small subunit ribosomal RNA
Source: RNAcentral
UGGGGAAUUUUGGACAAUGGGCGCAAGCCUGAUCCAGCAAUGCCGCGUGCAGGAUGAAGGCCUUCGGGUUGUAAACUGCUUUUGUACGGAACGAAAAAGCUCUCUCUAAUACAGGGGGUGAAUGACGGUACCGUAAGAAUAAGCACCGGCUAACUACGUGCCAGCAGCCGCGGUCAUACGUAGGGUGCAAGCGUUAAUCGGAAUUACUGGGCGUAAAGCGUGCGCAGGCGGUUUUGGAAGACAGAGGUGAAAUCCCCGGGCUCAACCUGGGAACUGCCUUUGCGACUGCAAAGCUGGAGUGCUGCAGAGGGAGAUGGAAUUCCGCGUGUAGCAGUGAAAUGCGUAGAUAUGCGGAUGAACACCGAUGGCGAAGGCAAUCCCCUGGGCCUGCACUGACGCUCAUGCACGAAAGCGUGGGGAGCAAACA